GCGUCAGUAGCUCAACUGGCAGAGCAGCGGUCUCCAAAACCGCAGGUUGUAGGUUCGAGUCCUACCUGGCGCGCCA
This 76-nucleotide transfer RNA is filed under the name Rhizobium sp. RNAcentral describes it as "tRNA-Trp". It matches the Rfam family "tRNA". Rfam says of the family: Transfer RNA (tRNA) molecules are approximately 80 nucleotides in length. Their secondary structure includes four short double-helical elements and three loops (D, anti-codon, and T loops). Further hydrogen bonds mediate the characteristic L-shaped molecular structure. tRNAs have two regions of fundamental functional importance: the anti-codon, which is responsible for specific mRNA codon recognition, and the 3' end, to which the tRNAs corresponding amino acid is attached (by aminoacyl-tRNA synthetases). tRNAs cope with the degeneracy of the genetic code in two manners: having more than one tRNA (with a specific anti-codon) for a particular amino acid; and 'wobble' base-pairing, i.e. permitting non-standard base-pairing at the 3rd anti-codon position. RNAcentral also lists the same sequence under 32 other names. Lineage: Bacteria; Pseudomonadati; Pseudomonadota; Alphaproteobacteria; Hyphomicrobiales; Rhizobiaceae. The record is from RNAcentral.